GGAGGAUCCAAGCGUUAUCCGGAAUCAUUGGGUUUAAAGGGUCCGUAGGCGGUUUAGUAAGUCAGUGGUGAAAGCCCAUCGCUCAACGGUGGAACGGCCAUUGAUACUGCUAGACUUGAAUUAUUAGGAAGUAACUAGAAUAUGUAGUGUAGCGGUGAAAUGCUUAGAGAUUACAUGGAAUACCAAUUGCGAAGGCAGGUUACUACUAAUGGAUUGACGCUGAUGGACGAAAGCGUGGGUAGCGAACAGGAUUAGAUACCCUGGUAGUCCACGCCGUAAACGAUGGAUACUAGCUGUUGGAAGCAAUUUCAGUGGCUAAGCGAAAGUGAUAAGUAUCCCACCUGGGGAGUACGUUCGCAAGAAUG
Molecule: ribosomal RNA, 365 nt
Filed under: uncultured bacterium
Lineage: Bacteria
Description: bacterial SSU rRNA
Rfam family: Bacterial small subunit ribosomal RNA
Source: RNAcentral